This is a long non-coding RNA of Eurytemora carolleeae, 710 nucleotides long. RefSeq lists it as uncharacterized. The record is from RefSeq and is a predicted model, not a curated record. The transcript has 4 exons. Lineage: Eukaryota; Metazoa; Arthropoda; Copepoda; Calanoida; Temoridae.
UAAACCCCAAUCCUUCCUAGUUUCCGUCAGCACAAGCUCUACAGAUAUAACGUGGAGAAGUAUGAUGUUGAGAGUUUAACCUCCUUCAUUACUGGAUUCUAUAAGAACUAUCCAGCAACAUCCGUCCCACUUCCGAAAAGUCCGUUCGAUGACCUGGUUCAGCUCUGCGUAGAUUACAUCAAGGAAUACCCUGUCCUUGUGAGCCUUUGCGUGGCCAUCCCAAUCCUUCUCCUCAUUGCCUUCUUAUACCUGAUCAGAUCGGAUGAGGAAAAGUUAAGAAAAAAGAAGAAGAAGAAGAAGAACAAGGAUAAAUAGAGAAAACUUGGCUGUGAUAUUCUUAGUUCAAACUAGAUCAAACAUUCCAGGCCUAGGAUAAAUAAUAACUUGUACAACAUCUGUUAGAUUCACACAAGGAACAGUGUCCAGUGUCCACCGCCCAUAGCUUAGAUUCUCCCCACGGCCACCCCUCCUUCCCCUCCACAUAUGUCUUUACAGACAUUUUUUUAAUACGAUGGACUUGAAAAGUAUUUUGUUUUGUGGUUCCAUGGUAUAUGCCUCUAUGAGCAAUAACAUUGAACAUUUAUGUAAUUGAAAAUAAAAUGUCAGUUUUAUGUGAAAGGAUGUAGAUUACUGGUGUUAUGUCUCAGGGUUUUUUUGUAUUUUUUCAUACUCUUGUUACGCCUUUUGUUAAUAAAUAUGGAAUUGUUUUA